UAACCGGCGAUUUCCGAAUGGGGAAACCCAGUGUGUUUCGACACACUAUCAUUAACUGAAUCCAUAGGUUAAUGAGGCGAACCGGGGGAACUGAAACAUCUAAGUACCCCGAGGAAAAGAAAUCAACCGAGAUUCCCCCAGUAGCGGCGAGCGAACGGGGAGGAGCCCAGAGCCUGAAUCAGUGUGUGUGUUAGUGGAAGCGUCUGGAAAGGCGCGCGAUACAGGGUGACAGCCCCGUACACAAAAAUGCACAUACUGUGAGCUCGAUGAGUAGGGCGGGACACGUGGUAUCCUGUCUGAAUAUGGGGGGACCAUCCUCCAAGGCUAAAUACUCCUGACUGACCGAUAGUGAACCAGUACCGUGAGGGAAAGGCGAAAAGAACCCCGGCGAGGGGAGUGAAAAAGAACCUGAAACCGUGUACGUACAAGCAGUGGGAGCCUCUUAAUGGGGUGACUGCGUACCUUUUGUAUAAUGGGUCAGCGACUUAUAUUCUGUAGCAAGGUUAACCGAAUAGGGGAGCCGAAGGGAAACCGAGUCUUAACUGGGCGUUAAGUUGCAGGGUAUAGACCCGAAACCCGGUGAUCUAGCCAUGGGCAGGUUGAAGGUUGGGUAACACUAACUGGAGGACCGAACCGACUAAUGUUGAAAAAUUAGCGGAUGACUUGUGGCUGGGGGUGAAAGGCCAAUCAAACCGGGAGAUAGCUGGUUCUCCCCGAAAGCUAUUUAGGUAGCGCCUCGUGAAUUCAUCUCCGGGGGUAGAGCACUGUUUCGGCAAGGGGGUCAUCCCGACUUACCAACCCGAUGCAAACUGCGAAUACCGGAGAAUGUUAUCACGGGAGACACACGGCGGGUGCUAACGUCCGUCGUGAAGAGGGAAACAACCCAGACCGCCAGCUAAGGUCCCAAAGUCAUGGUUAAGUGGGAAACGAUGUGGGAAGGCCCAGACAGCCAGGAUGUUGGCUUAGAAGCAGCCAUCAUUUAAAGAAAGCGUAAUAGCUCACUGGUCGAGUCGGCCUGCGCGGAAGAUGUAACGGGGCUAAACCAUGCACCGAAGCUGCGGCAGCGACGCUUAUGCGUUGUUGGGUAGGGGAGCGUUCUGUAAGCCUGUGAAGGUGGCCUGUGAGGGUUGCUGGAGGUAUCAGAAGUGCGAAUGCUGACAUAAGUAACGAUAAAGCGGGUGAAAAGCCCGCUCGCCGGAAGACCAAGGGUUCCUGUCCAACGUUAAUCGGGGCAGGGUGAGUCGACCCCUAAGGCGAGGCCGAAAGGCGUAGUCGAUGGGAAACAGGUUAAUAUUCCUGUACUUGGUGUUACUGCGAAGGGGGGACGGAGAAGGCUAUGUUGGCCGGGCGACGGUUGUCCCGGUUUAAGCGUGUAGGCUGGUUUUCCAGGCAAAUCCGGAAAAUCAAGGCUGAGGCGUGAUGACGAGGCACUACGGUGCUGAAGCGACAAAUGCCCUGCUUCCAGGAAAAGCCUCUAAGCAUCAGGUAACAUUAAAUCGUACCCCAAACCGACACAGGUGGUCAGGUAGAGAAUACCAAGGCGCUUGAGAGAACUCGGGUGAAGGAACUAGGCAAAAUGGUGCCGUAACUUCGGGAGAAGGCACGCUGAUAUGUAGGUGAAGCGACUUGCUCGUGGAGCUGAAAUCAGUCGAAGAUACCAGCUGGCUGCAACUGUUUAUUAAAAACACAGCACUGUGCAAACACGAAAGUGGACGUAUACGGUGUGACGCCUGCCCGGUGCCGGAAGGUUAAUUGAUGGGGUUAGCGGUAACGCGAAGCUCUUGAUCGAAGCCCCGGUAAACGGCGGCCGUAACUAUAACGGUCCUAAGGUAGCGAAAUUCCUUGUCGGGUAAGUUCCGACCUGCACGAAUGGCGUAAUGAUGGCCAGGCUGUCUCCACCCGAGACUCAGUGAAAUUGAACUCGCUGUGAAGAUGCAGUGUACCCGCGGCAAGACGGAAAGACCCCGUGAACCUUUACUAUAGCUUGACACUGAACAUUGAGCCUUGAUGUGUAGGAUAGGUGGGAGGCUUUGAAGUGUGGACGCCAGUCUGCAUGGAGCCGACCUUGAAAUACCACCCUUUAAUGUUUGAUGUUCUAACGUGGGCCCCUUACCGGGGUUGCGGACAGUGUCUGGUGGGUAGUUUGACUGGGGCGGUCUCCUCCUAAAGAGUAACGGAGGAGCACGAAGGUUGGCUAAUCCUGGUCGGACAUCAGGAGGUUAGUGCAAUGGCAUAAGCCAGCUUGACUGCGAGCGUGACGGCGCGAGCAGGUGCGAAAGCAGGUCAUAGUGAUCCGGUGGUUCUGAAUGGAAGGGCCAUCGCUCAACGGAUAAAAGGUACUCCGGGGAUAACAGGCUGAUACCGCCCAAGAGUUCAUAUCGACGGCGGUGUUUGGCACCUCGAUGUCGGCUCAUCACAUCCUGGGGCUGAAGUAGGUCCCAAGGGUAUGGCUGUUCGCCAUUUAAAGUGGUACGCGAGCUGGGUUUAGAACGUCGUGAGACAGUUCGGUCCCUAUCUGCCGUGGGCGCUGGAGAACUGAGGGGGGCUGCUCCUAGUACGAGAGGACCGGAGUGGACGCAUCACUGGUGUUCGGGUUGUCAUGCCAAUGGCACUGCCCGGUAGCUAAAUGCGGAAGAGAUAAGUGCUGAAAGCAUCUAAGCACGAAACUUGCCCCGAGAUGAGUUCUCCCUGACUCCUUGAGAGUCCUGAAGGAACGUUGAAGACGACGACGUUGAUAGGCCGGGUGUGUAAGCGCAGCGAUGCGUUGAGCUAACCGGUACUAAUGAACCGUGAGGCUUAACCU
This 2803-nucleotide ribosomal RNA is filed under the name Escherichia coli. RNAcentral's name for it is "23S ribosomal RNA". It matches the Rfam family "Bacterial large subunit ribosomal RNA". Lineage: Bacteria; Pseudomonadati; Pseudomonadota; Gammaproteobacteria; Enterobacterales; Enterobacteriaceae. The record is from RNAcentral.